Molecule: ribosomal RNA, 253 nt
Filed under: uncultured bacterium
Lineage: Bacteria
Description: partial 16S ribosomal RNA
Rfam family: Bacterial small subunit ribosomal RNA
Source: RNAcentral
UACGAGUACCCCAAGCGUUAUCCGGAAUUACUGGGCGUAAAGCGUGCGCAGGCGGUUUUGUAAGUCUGUCGUGAAAGCCCCGGGCUCAACCUGGGAAUUGCGAUGGAGACUGUAAGGCUUGAAUCUGGCAGAGGGGGGUAGAAUUCCACGUGUAGCAGUGAAAUGCGUAGAGAUGUGGAGGAACACCGAUGGCGAAGGCAGCCCCCUGGGUCAAGAUUGACGCUCAUGCACGAAAGCGUGGGGAGCGAACAGG